GUCCUACGGGAGGCAGCAGUGGGGAAUAUUGGACAAUGGGGGCAACCCUGAUCCAGCGACGCCGCGUGUGUGAAGAAGGCCUGCGGGUUGUAAAGCACUUUUAGUGGGGAUGAAAAGCCGAAGGCUAAUACCUUUCGGUCUUGACCUAACCCAAAGAAAAAGCACCGGCUAACUCUGUGCCAGCAGCCGCGGUAAUACAGAGGGUGCAAGCGUUAAUCGGAAUUACUGGGCGUAAAGCGUGCGUAGUCGGUUAGCUAAGUCGGAUGUGAAAUCCCCGGGCUCAACCUGGGAAUUGCAUUCGAUACUGGAUAGCUAGAGUUCGGCAGAGGGAAGCGGAAUUUCGGGUGUAGCGGUGAAAUGCGUAGAUAUCCGAAGGAACAUCAGUGGCGAAAGCGGCUUCCUGGACCAGAACUGACGAUCAGGCACGAAAGCGUGGGGAGCAAACAGGAUUAGAUACCCUAGUAGUC
This 467-nucleotide ribosomal RNA is filed under the name uncultured Sinobacteraceae bacterium. RNAcentral's name for it is "bacterial SSU rRNA". It matches the Rfam family "Bacterial small subunit ribosomal RNA", at positions 335 to 795 of the family's 1533-position model. The record is from RNAcentral. Lineage: Bacteria; Pseudomonadati; Pseudomonadota; Gammaproteobacteria; Nevskiales; Nevskiaceae.